UUAGAAUAUUCUCGUCACCUCCAUGUACAAGAUGCUGAUCCUGAGAACACUCCCCAAUAAACUUCGUGCACCCACAUCUCCAUCUCAAGAUGGAGAUAGCGUCUCCUUCUUAUGACACUGACUGAAUUGAUUUGGUGCCACUAUUUUUCAUCAUUCCCCUUUUCCUUGACUUGAAAGGACUCCUCUGUGGAAAAGGUGGACAGAGAGAAUCUGCUGCCCAGCUCUCUGCCAACGAUAGGUAGUAUCAGAUGGCAGGAUCAGAAAUGAUGAGUCUCCUGCCAACCCAUCCCCAAGCCUAAAUUGCCAUCUGUCUCCUUUCCCUACUCCACGGUGGAGAGGAAAGUGUAAAAGCACCACUUCCUUACUAAUGAACUAGUAAGAAACUACCCAAAGCAUGUACUCUGAUAUAAUUAUUUUAAAAACAUGUGUUACGGGCUGAAUUGUAUCCCUUCCCCAAAAAUUCAUAUGUUGAAGUCUUAACUCCCAGUACCUCUGUGACUGUAUUUGGAGACAGAGUCUUUAAAGAGACAAUUAAAGUUAAAUGAGGUCAUUUGGGUGGACUCUAAUCCAAUAUGAUUGGUGUCCUUAUAAGAGGAAAUUACGACACAGACACGUAUAGCAGGCAGACCAUGUGAAGACAUAGGGAGAAGAUGGUCAUCUACAAGCCAAGGAGAGAGGCCUCAGGAAAAACCACCCCUGCUGACACGUUGAUCUCAGACUUCUAACCUGAAGAAUCGUGAGAAAAUAAAUUUCUGUUGUUUAAACCACCCAUCCUGUGGUACUUUGUUAUGGAGCCCCAGCAAACUAAUACAACACGAAAUCAUAAAACUUGUGGAUUUUGUUUCAUGCCCUUUAAAUGCCCUGGGCAUACCUAAGAAGCCCAGAUAUGGGCAUCUUCAGGAGGGCUCCAGCAUGUCUCUAGGCUGUGUGAAUUCUUCAUGCCUUUUUGUUUCUUUGCACCAUUUUUGUUUCCAUGUCUUUAUUUCUGCUUGAUGUGGGUACCUCGAAUUGAGCAGAUGGUUUGAGAGUGUUUCCUCCAGCCCCAACCUGGUCCUCCUGAAUGCACCUUCUCUUGUUUUGAUGCUGUUGUUUUGCUGAUUUCCUUAUCCUGUACCCUGAACCUCAGGCCCCAGGAAAAUAUUCUGGCCAGGCUUCUACUAAUCUAGCCUUUCCUGAAAGAGUAGAUGGGCUAAAUAUCAUAGAAGCUGCACAUAGCUCAGACAGCCUGAGUUACCAACUGGGGAUUAAGCACAUUGAUUUUAUUCUGACUCCUCACCUAGAAAUUUAGAAAAUAGACCUUAUGGAUAGCAUAGUGCUUCCUAGAUGUAAGGUAUUAAACUGUAAUGUAUCAAAAAUAUUUAAGAGAAGAAAAAAGUUAAUAAACGUAUAGUCCAGAAGAGAAUAAUCACUGUGACAAUUCCCAUUGUCCCAGGGAUCCCUUUCUGUGACACUUUACAGCCUCCAUCCAGUCUUCUCCAGGCACUCUGAUGAUCAAAUCUUCUCAGAUGAUGGCCUCCUGGCACCAUCAUGCUUCUGUCAUCCCACACCUGGACCACCAGAGAUGCUUGGGAGCCCCUGAGGGGCCUGGACUAUGUGGUGGUCUAUAGCACAAAUCAUGCUUAAAGAGCAUCAAAUCUGUGCUGCCCACACAGACACUCUCAGCUUCGGGUGUAACAGUGGUUUAGUUGCUUCACUGCCAGCUGCUCUCCUCGCCCUUGGACUCAGUCAAGGUUCAGGGACAGAGUUGAGUGACAGCUUCUGCUCUGUGCUCCCUUCUGAUGACUAAGGCUUUGUUUCUGGGUCAAGAUCGUCAGGGCUCCUCUCUCCCUUAGGGGAAGGUUUCUCCUAGUUCACUACUCAGUCCCUCAUGCAAAGAGACUUCUGAUAGGCUGUCCUGCUCGCUGUCCAAACAUGCCUGAGAGAGCUGAGUGCUAGGUUCUGGACACACCAGGGGCUUCUAGUCUUCAGCGCCUCAACCCACAGGCCCCUCACAUACGUCUAGAGAGAGUGAGCUACAGACGAAAGAAAAAUAAAGAAAACACAGUUGCUCCUUUAAGGAGAAGCUGAAAUACUGGCCGUACCCUCUUCUGGAUAUUCUGUGUUGCUCUUGCCCCUGUUGUCUGGUCUGAGAUUGGACAUCCAACUUUUGCCUCAUUAUCACAGAUGAUUCUAUUGCCUCUUGUUUACCAGAGAAUGGCCAUGACAUCCUAGUUCUAUCACCUAAGUGCCCCGUGCCUGUAGAUUUCCUGUCAGCUGAGUCUCUCUUAAAAAAUCCAUGUUGUUCUGUUCUGGUUGGCACCUGAAUUCCCUCAGCGCACCUUGAUUAUGCGAGGAAUUUGAAAGCUUUUACGGUGACAAUAGUCUCCUCUUGCUUAAAGCCCAAAUGAAAAGUGAACACUUCUGAAUGGUUUAGUUUAGAAACCCCAUAUCUGAUUUGACGUGGCAUAGAUUGAAUAAAAAUAUGAUGUGUAAGAUGACAUUACAUUUUGGACCAGAGAAAGAAUUAUCUUGUACAGGGUUAUUCAAGAGUUUGCAUCAGCAAGUCCUUCAAAUACAUUAUCUGGAUCCUCCGCUGGCCAGAAAUGACUUUGUUAAAUAAAAUCUUCCUUGAAAUAAAUGGUAGUUUCUAUAUUUUCUCUUUUUACUCGUAUGUAAAUCUGAAGAGCUGCUGUUAUUAAAACAAGAGUCUAAA
Diceros bicornis minor is the source of this 2692-nucleotide long non-coding RNA. RefSeq lists it as uncharacterized. Lineage: Eukaryota; Metazoa; Chordata; Mammalia; Perissodactyla; Rhinocerotidae. The transcript is spliced from 2 exons. The record is from RefSeq and is a predicted model, not a curated record.